GAUGAACGCUGGCGGCGUGCUUAACACAUGCAAGUCGAACGAAGCACUUUAACCUGAUUCUUCGGAUGAAGGUUUUUGUGACUGAGUGGCGGACGGGUGAGUAACGCGUGGGUAACCUGCCUCAUACAGGGGGAUAACAGUUAGAAAUGACUGCUAAUACCGCAUAAGACCACAGAGCCGCAUGGCUCGGUGGGAAAAACUCCGGUGGUAUGAGAUGGACCCGCGUCUGAUUAGGUAGUUGGUGGGGUAACGGCCUACCAAGCCAACGAUCAGUAGCCGACCUGAGAGGGUGACCGGCCACAUUGGGACUGAGACACGGCCCAAACUCCUACGGGAGGCAGCAGUGGGGAAUAUUGCACAAUGGGGGAAACCCUGAUGCAGCGACGCCGCGUGAGCGAAGAAGUAUUUCGGUAUGUAAAGCUCUAUCAGCAGGGAAGAAAAUGACGGUACCUGACUAAGAAGCACCGGCUAAAUACGU
This 478-nucleotide ribosomal RNA is filed under the name uncultured bacterium. RNAcentral's name for it is "partial 16S ribosomal RNA". It matches the Rfam family "Bacterial small subunit ribosomal RNA", at positions 28 to 506 of the family's 1533-position model. The record is from RNAcentral.